This 158-nucleotide unclassified non-coding RNA is filed under the name uncultured fungus. RNAcentral describes it as "sequence contains ITS1". Lineage: Eukaryota; Fungi. The record is from RNAcentral.
GUUUUUAUAUUAAACUAGUUAAAAUUCAGACACUAAAAAGCUGUUUUUAAGGGUGUUUUUGUUUGCAAACACACAAAGAGUCCAAAGCUUACUCUGAACUCUGGGUGUUUAUGAUAAGUAUAACAGUAAUGAUCCUUCCGCAGGUUCACCUACGGAAA